AUUGAACGCUGGCGGCAGGCCUAACACAUGCAAGUCGAACGAGUGGCGGACGGGUGAGUAAUGUCUGGGAAACUGCCUGAUGGAGGGGGAUAACUACUGGAAACGGUAGCUAAUACCGCAUACCAUCAUAUGUGCCCUGAUGGGAUUCGCUUGUUGGUGGGGUAACGGCUCACCAAGGCGACGAUCCCUAGCUGGUCCGAGAGGCUGAACAGCCACACGGGAACUGAGACACGGACCAGACUCCUACGGGAGGCAGCAGUGGGGAAUAUUGCACAAUGGGCGCAAGCCUGAUGCAGCCAUGACGCGUGUAUGAAGAAGGCCUUAGGGUUGUAAAGUACUUUCAGUGGGGAGGCGUUACCCGCAGAAGAAGCACCGGCUAACUCCGUGCCAGCAGCCGCGGUAAUUC
RNAcentral lists this ribosomal RNA (406 nucleotides) under uncultured bacterium. Its description in RNAcentral is "partial 16S ribosomal RNA". It matches the Rfam family "Bacterial small subunit ribosomal RNA", at positions 30 to 526 of the family's 1533-position model. The record is from RNAcentral.